UACGGGGGGGGCAAGCGUUGUUCGGAAUUACUGGGCGUAAAGGGCUCGUAGGCGGCCAACUAAGUCGGAUGUGAAAUCCCCAAGCUUAACUUGGGAACUGCAUCCGAUACUGGAUGGCUUGAAUCCGGGAGAGGGAUGCAGAAUUCCAGGUGUAGCGGUGAAAUGCGUAGAUAUCUGGAGGAAUACCGGUGGCGAAGGCGGCAUCCUGGACCGGCAUUGACGCUGAGGAGCGAAAGCUAGGGGAGCAGACGGG
Molecule: ribosomal RNA, 253 nt
Filed under: uncultured bacterium
Lineage: Bacteria
Description: partial 16S ribosomal RNA
Rfam family: Bacterial small subunit ribosomal RNA
Source: RNAcentral